UUAAAAUGUAUAGUUUUGCUAGAGUAGUAGUAGUUAUGUUCUUGAAACUAAAAAAAUUUGGCGGUAUUUUAGUCUAUUCAGAGGAAUCUGUUCUGUAAUCGAUAAUCCACGAUGGACCUUUCUUAAGUUUGUUUUUCAGUUUAUAUACCGUCGUUAUCAGAAUAUUUUAUAAAAAUAAUAAUUUUCAGUAAUUUUUAUAAAAAUUUAUAUCAGAUCAAGGUGUAGCUUAUAUUUAAGUAGAAAUGGAUUACAAUAAAAUUAUUUAAAUGGAUAUAAUAAUGAAAAAGUUGUUGAAAGUGGAUUUGAUAGUAAAUUUAUAAAGAUUAAUAAUUUGAUUUUAGCUCUAAAAUAUGC
RNAcentral lists this ribosomal RNA (354 nucleotides) under Toxonevra superba. Its description in RNAcentral is "partial 12S ribosomal RNA". Lineage: Eukaryota; Metazoa; Arthropoda; Insecta; Diptera; Pallopteridae. The record is from RNAcentral.